CUCGGUGACGACAACCUUCUCAUCGAGAUCCUCCUCCGCCUCCCCUCGAAUCCGUCCUCGCUCCCCCGUGCAUCUACCGUAUGCAAGCGCUGGGGCAGCAUCCUCUCCGAUCCCCAGUUCCGCAAACGCUUCCGCAAGCACCACCGGAAGCCUCCUCUGCUCGGCUUCUUUGAAGGGUAUGCUGACCGCUUCACUUCCAUCAUGGACUCGCCCGACCGUAUCACCGCGGACUGCUUCUCCCUGCCCAAGAGAAGCACACCAUACAGCAACCAUGGAGAAUACAUGGGCUGCCGCCACGGCCUUGCUGUUGUAAUCAACGAGCAGGUGCGCCAGGCCGUCGUGUGGGACCCCCUCACUAGCCAACAGCACAACGUGGCUUUUCCACCAGGACUAGACGACGCCUUUACAGAGAGUUUCUGUAUGUGGCAUGGCGCGGUGUUGUGCGCUGAUGCCGUUGACGGGCCUGUGCAUGGAGAUUGCUUCUCGAGCCCGUUUAAAUUGGUUUUGGUCUGCUGCGGUGGAUACAAUACGCAGGCAUUUUGUUCUGUCUACGACUCGGCAUCUGGUGUUUGGGGAGGUGUUUUCUCGACCGCGAUAUCACGUACAAUUUCUCUGUUAAGGCCGAGCAUCCUAGUUGGGAAUGAGCUUUGCUGGUUGAUUUCUAGAGGUGAUAUACUUGUGCUUGAUGUCGAAAUUCAGAGCCUCAGUUUCAUCGAGAAGCCGGCAUGCAACUAUAUUUCUGAUGGGUGUUUUCAAAUCUUACGAAUGGAUGAUGGUGGACUUGGCCUCGCCAUUUUGUUGGACCUGACCAUCCAAUUAUGGGAGAGGAAAUCUAAUUGUGAUGGUGUUGUCGAAUGGGCGAUGCUGCAGAAAACCAUUCCACUAGAGGGGAUAUUUCCAAGGAUAAUGCAUUCUUUAUUUUUUGUCGGUUAUGACGAGGACACAAAUGUGAUUGUUCUCACUACGACGACUGGAAAUUUCACACUCGAACUUGACACUAUGAAGAUCAAACGUAUUGUU
Molecule: ribosomal RNA, 1020 nt
Filed under: Triticum aestivum (bread wheat)
Lineage: Eukaryota; Viridiplantae; Streptophyta; Magnoliopsida; Poales; Poaceae
Description: partial small subunit ribosomal RNA
Source: RNAcentral